GGUAGCGUGGCCGAGCGCUCUAAGCCGCUGGUUUAAGGCACCAGUCUCUCCGGAGGCGUGGGUUCGAAUCCCACCGCUGCCA
RNAcentral lists this transfer RNA (82 nucleotides) under Trichonephila clavipes. It matches the Rfam family "tRNA". Rfam says of the family: Transfer RNA (tRNA) molecules are approximately 80 nucleotides in length. Lineage: Eukaryota; Metazoa; Arthropoda; Arachnida; Araneae; Nephilidae. The record is from Rfam by way of RNAcentral.